RNAcentral lists this long non-coding RNA (9208 nucleotides) under Triticum aestivum (bread wheat). Its description in RNAcentral is "long non-coding RNA (TAES_LNC016700)". Lineage: Eukaryota; Viridiplantae; Streptophyta; Magnoliopsida; Poales; Poaceae. The record is from RNAcentral.
UAACUACAGGCAUGAGAAAGCAACUAUAUCAUAGGUACAAUAUAUUGUCACACGCUGACAUUAACAGUAUGCAAGAAAUCUCAGAAUUUUAGACAUUUGACAAUAAGAAGUUCAUAAUCAACAUUUGUACACUUAAGAUCCAAACAUUACAUGCUAAUCUGAAUUUUGUUUCGCAAGUAGGAAAUACCACUCUAGCAUUUGCAAAGUACAGUACCAUCUUUAGUACUGAUCUGAACAUAUGAUCCAAUCAGUAAACCCCAAUAUGAUCCAAACAUUACAUUUAGCAUUUGUACACUGAAUUUUCUUUAGAUCCAACAUAGUCUACUAGAUGUGCAAGAAAUGCAGAGGCAAUAGUUUUCUCUUCUCGGUCUUUAGCUCGAGUAUUGCUUUCCGCUGCUCCUCCAAGGUCAUCUCCUAUAUAAUGGUGGCCAGAGCACAUGUUAUCUCAUUAACAACAUCAGACAUGAGAAACACCAGAAAGACUGCAAGCAUGCCAACAAACUAAGCUGGAGAAACCAAAUUGCCAGUCACUUGAUCAGCUUUGCCAUAGCUCAGAAGCUCAACAACAUCGACAGGAAGAAAAACUACACACAUACACAGGAAAGUGCGCCACCUACCUACUUUUAAUUUCUACUAUCAGUCUCAGUUAUGAAAGCUCAUUUGUGGAUGAUAACAGGCAUAGAAAUAUGUAGCUAUUUUCUUCAGGUUACAACGCCACCAUUUCUGCAGCCAAAGUUUCAUCUAGUGGCACAACCCUAAAAAUAUCAGCCAAAUCGUCAGAGAUGGCACCACUGAAGAUCAUUCGUUAGAUAUUUUCUGUUAUCUACUCGUAUUUGUUUCACUUUCCUACUGGACUCAAGUCUUAAUCCAGUCAAUCUAAAGGUUAACACAUACACUGAUCAUUUGGGUGGAAUCUGUUUGUUUCUACCCGCAAAAAGAAAGUAUCCAUUUUAACGCUAGACAUAAUGGCGUGGUGUCUCUAAACCACAAUACCAUCAUGUCAGCAGCCAAAGUUUCACCACAAAAAUCUACAAUCAGCCACGACCGAGAACACAAGAAAUCUAUAAAGGAUCCUCGAAAAUCAUCAACUUGCCGUUAGCUACUGGUUUUCCACCAAAUCUAUAAUUGCUUUGUGUAUGUCAGUAGAAAAAUGAAAAGGAUGGUAGACAAAGGCAACUAACCAACAUAAAAUGAAGGUAGCACUGAUCAUGAAUACCUAGACCCUCCAUCCGACACCAGAGAGCCUGUGAUUCACAAAUUUGGACCAUCAAGAUUAAGAUCAUGAAGAAAUUUUCCAAAUCACAUAGUAUUUUGAUUGUUUGAAGCAGAGGCAAACUGAUCAUACCAUUUCCAUCAGAAGAAGUUGGAGUAGGUCUAUAUCCUGGCCUCAAAUGACUGUUGAAAAUGUAUACAUGUAUUACUAGCUAUACAUUGGAAUUUGUAAGUCCAUAUAUUCAUGAUGAGUAUCUUCAUUUUCCGUUACAGAAUUAUUAGCAAGAACUAUCGUGAUUAGAAGAUCUUGAUACCAAGUACACUGUUAUAUCUAAGCAAGCUGCAGGUGUAGGAGGCAUCAUCUAAAGUACCAGAGCAUGGGAAAAAUAACAUUACCUUGCAAAUGAUCUUGGAAAACUUGACAUCCUUUGUACAGUGUUAGACAUCAGCGAACCUGUGUCAGAAAUUGGAAUGCUUUAACAAAAGCAAUAUGCUACAUAUAUUUUCAGUGAAUAAAAAUGACAAAAAUAGUUGAGAUUGAUGUGUUACUACCUAUUCCGUCAGAUGGCAUUGGCCGCUCAGUUGUGAAACCUAGCCUUGUUGCAGUAGUGCCGUCCAUAGGAGGUGAAAUGCCAACCAAGUUAGACACGACAUUUUGUAGCCAAUCGAUCUUCUUCUGUUGAGCUUCAAGUUGAGAUUGUUGAGCCUCAAUUUGAGUUUGUUGUGUAGCAACAAUCUCCUUUGUAGAGGCCAAUUCUUCCACUACAUGCUGAGUUGAGCUUGAUGCGCUUGAGUAAGCCCUUCUAUUUGGUUUUGGUCCAUGACCCCGACCUCUGAUGUAACCAUAUGCCUUACCAAGCACAUGCUCGCAAAUCUGUUGCUCUGUUAAAGGUACUUCACCCUCCUCUAUGGGUUCCUUUUGCUUCUGCAACAUUUCUUCCUGCAUUAAUAAUACAAGAAAUGAAAGGCAUUUACAUUCUUAAUUUCAGCAACAUAAUGAUGUAUUUAAAAGUACCCAAAUUCACUAUUAGUAUAAUGCAACACUAACAACUUUGAACCUAUAAUACCUAAAUCAGAGCACCUUGAUCAUGUUCCUUCUCUGCCAGGCAAUUGAAAUCAUAUAUUCCCGGUCCGGCCAUCAAGCCCAACAGCCUGUGGAGGAGAAUCGGGCACCGGUUUUGGAUGGGCAACAUGUUUUUAGAUGAGUUACCUCUUGGGUUGCACGAUAAGUGCCUCUUUUUCUCUCUGGUGAUUUACAAUCCAUCCCAGUAUUAUCAUAAUACCAGUAGAUUCUAUUGUUGUAAUAUGCUGUCACCUAUCUGGCAUCCUGAUCUCUUUCUUUCUGACACAAAAUAUUGCAGUCCAGGGGAUGUGAAAGAUGUUAUAUCUAUUUAUUUUUUACGGGAAGAUGUUAUAUCUGUUGGCGCAGCUUCGAUCUUGACGACGCAGCACGCCCGGGAACAACGAGGAUGAAGCGGCCGAAAUACGUCCGGAAGCUAAUUUGUUUAGAAGCAAAACACACGACGGCCUACAGCUAAACUAGCUCGAAAUUUGCGACAUGCACACACGCCAGAUUGAUCUUUUUUUCCCCUCCGCCAUGGCUUCCCUGUAGCUUUUCUCCUUUAUAUAGCUGAUUACAAAGACUCCACGACUCAUACGCACUGGUACUUCUAGGACCAAACGGCCUAAAACUCAAACACGUAUAUGAAUGAAACUCUAAACUGACGUACAUAUGUUUGGAGUAUCUAACAAUAUAUAUCUACUCAAGGAUUAAACAGGUAAGUAUUUCUACCCUACUAUUGCUCAUUUAAUUGUUUUCAUGUUCGUAGAAUUAGGAAACAGUUCCAUUAAUUUUUUCAGUAUGCUGUUUGCAGAAAAUUAUGCAAAGAAAGGCAUAGCUCAGCUGACAGAAAUAUUUACACCUGGAACUUCUUUAUGGUUUGAGUUGAAUGACCUUUUUGAAUUUCUUUAUGGUUUUAGUUUUAGAAAAUGUGACCAGCAUAAGUUAAACAGAAAUACUAAGUAUUUUACUUUGCUGAGUCAGGGAGAUUUCAUGCACAUCUCCCUAAUAAUAGUGCAUCAUCUACUACAGGUCAUGAGAAAACAGGGCACUUCAAAGUUUGUACCUAUGUCAUGCACAUGGUGAAACAGUUUCAAGCACGGUUAAAGCUCUAGCUAUUAUUUUUCUCUGUUUUAGUGGUCAUUUCUCCCAUUUCUUGCUCUCUAGUUCUCAUUUGUAUCUAAGUAUUCUCAUUGCUUAAUCUCUCUCAACAGGAAUUAAUUUGUUACAUGGUACUUACAUGUUUAUUCCUGGCAUCUUCUGAUGCCCAUCCCUUCUUAUCACUAGAGUAACACUCCUUGUAUAGUCUGAUAUCGCCACAAUUCUGAUAAUACAAGAUUCAAAGUCAGAAGACAUGAAUAUAAGAUAGCUACAAGUUUCGAUAUUCUGCUUUCACCACAAUUGUGACACAAGAUAAAGAUAAGUAAUAGUGACUUACUAAUUCAUGUUGAACCGCUACAAAUGACUUUGUUCCCUUCUUGUGAACAUAAGGUAGGUUUGAGCGGUUAGCCUUCCCAAUUGUGGACCGUUUCUGCAUAUGGUAGUAUUCUGUAAACAAAUAAGGCAUGGUUGAGUGAUAAAGAUAGAUGCAAAACUGUUGACAUCCAUUCAAAGACUACCAUACCUUAAAUUCUUCUGUUUCAAAAUGAUCACAGAGACAAAUCCAGUCUCCAACUCUAUUAUCAAUAAGGGGAGGAUAUGGAUUGCUUCUAGCAUCAUCACCAGAUUUUACAUAAUGUUCAUAACACUUGUGACGGAAACUUUUGUAGCUUGAAGAGAAUAGCAGAUCCACACAGCCUUUGAUAUGAUCUUGGGUGAAAUCAAGAUUGAACUUAAGCUACGAAGAAAGAACUCAAAGUUAAAACUACACAUAUUCUAAGUUCGAAAGUUUGAUAAUCUUACAUACCUUUAGAAGUUCAUACAACGGCUCCUUAUCAUCCUCAGUAAGACUAUGCUACCCGGCACGUUGGAUAGGUGCAUGGUACCGUGUAAGAAGUCCAAUCUCUCUGGAAAGUAGUUCAUUAUUUUCUCCAAUAGGUCUUCUCUCUUCGGAGAUGGUCAAGUUUAGUGGAUGACCUGCCCUUUUGAUCAAACGCUCCAAGCCCUUUCCCUUAUUUAUCCCACGCACCUUCCUGGAUUUUGAUGUUGAGGUACUCCCAGAAUGUUGACCUUGAGAUUGUGGGGCAUUCCUUGGUGGGCGAACUGUUCGUCCAGGUCCCAUCUGCCAUAGAAUUAAAAGAAUGGAACAAUACCCAGAUUGUUUAUAUUAGAAAGAUAGGGAAAUCAGAUUUGCUACGUCAACAGAAACAAACCACGAGUUACAUAGUAAUUAGAUAUGUUGUGGCAACAUAAAUAAAUCAUAAGUAUCAAUAGUAAUCCGAAAUAACCUGAAACAGGAUACAUAUAGUCUGAUAUACACUAAAACAUGACACCAUUAUUCUAAUAUAACCUGAAACGGGACACAUGUAGUCUAACAUAACCUGAAAUAGGAGACAUGUAACCCGAUACAACACAUAUUAUUCUACUACUCUGGUUCCUCUUCAAAAUUAUCCUGAGAGACAUGGCUCUCCUUCAAAGAUGCCAACUCUUUUGGAUCAGUAACAAUUUCUGGUGCAACAUCAUGUCGACACGAGACAUUGCCUUCAAAAGUUUCAUCGAUGGAAACAUUGGUAGCUUCCUCCUCUUGAAAUGCAAUAUCUUCGCUAGCAUCAUCUUCAUUGACUUGAUUCCAAACCUCUGGAUCGAAAAGAUGGCGAUGCGGAGCCUUCUGCACAACUAGCCAAUCUCCCUUCAAUUUUGUAUCACGUACAUAGAAGACUUGGCUCACUUGACUAGCUAGUACAAAGGAGUCAUCUUGGUACCACUUGCUUCCUAUAUUAACACUAACAAAGUCGUCAUCGAUCCUCACAGGCUUGUUACUCUCUAAAUCAUACCAUUCACACUCAAAUAAAGCAACAUGUCGAUCAUUGGGGUAAUUCAGGACAUAUAUAUUUUUAAGAAUACCAUAAUAUGUGAUAUUUUGCCCCUUAUGUUGGCCCUCUGUGCACACACCACUAUUCUGACUUUUACGACCAUCUUCACGCUCCUUUGUCAAGAAUCUAACACCACCAACAAUGCAUCCUAAGAAUUUGUGUACUCUCUUAUGCGGUCCAAUUGCCAACGCAUACAAACAGUCAGACACUAGGGAUGCUCCUUGGUUGCGCAGAUUGAUCACCUAAAUUCCACAAGUAAUGCAAGUUAACUCAUGGAAGCCAUUGCCUGGAUUGGUGUAGCAUGAUUGGCGAAGCCAUUGCAAGUUAACUCAAGUAAUAGCAUGAACUUACUCUUUGGCGCAGCCAUGAACCAAACUGUUCAUGUUGCCUAUUUUCAAUAUUAUCCGCACCUUCAGCCAGUAGGGCAUCCUCAUGCUCACUAGAAAGAAAUGUCGAGGGAUGAGUUUCUAACUAGUUGAGGAUGUAUAAUUAUAACUUAAAGUUUAUAACAUGUAUACUUACUAUAGGUAUUCUUGUAGUUCCUCACAAUUAUUUAGCACAUACCAAGACAGAGAAUCAUACUGAUCUUGUGUUAACAUAAGGUCAUCCCUAUGGCCAAAAGCACGGAAACUAGUUGAGAAUACCGAGAAACGAUCAAGUGGUUGUCUCUCCCCAUCAAAAUUCCGCUCUUGUCUAUUGAACCUUGUCUCAAUUCCAUGUAGAUACAUGGAGCAGCAUGUUGAGCACUCCUUCAUAACAUAAGCUUUAGCAAUUGAACCCUCUGGGUGUGCCCUAUUGCUCACCAUGCCUUUCAAAGUACCAAGGAACCUGCAGCCCAAAUUUUCUUACUACAACACAUUUCUACACACUAAUAGAACUGUAGAAGGAUGGAAGGACUAAUGUGAUGAAGAACACGCUACCUUUCAAUGAAGAACAUCCAUCUGUAUUGUACAGGACCUCCAAGCCUUGCUUGCUGUGGUAGAUGCACUGCUAAGUGCACGCUAAUAUCAAAGAAUGCAGGUGGGAGAAUCAUUUCUAGUUUGCACAAUACAAUUACUAUUUGUUGUUCCAACUUAUCCAAGAUAUCCAGCUUCAAUGUCUUGGAGCAUAAUUGGCGGAAAAAACUACCAAGCUGCAGAAGUGCAUCACAGAUAUCUUUGUGCAAAAAUCCUCGCAUUCCAAUCAGGAGUAUUCUCUGAAGAAGAAUAUGGUAGUCGUGUGUCUUCAGCCCAGUUAUUUUCCCAUCUUUACUUAUACCUUUUGAUAUAUUUGCAGCAAAUCCAUCUGGGAAGCAAAUAGAUUCUAGGAAUUGCAGAAACUCAAGUUUCUCAUCUCUGGUUAAUGUGUACCAUGCAUGAUGCUUUUCUAUGCUACUUCCCGUAUCAUUCAAGUGUAGAUCUGCUCUGAUAUUCAUGUCUUCUAAGUCCUUGCGGGUCUUAAGUGUGUCCUUGGACUUGCCAUCUAUGUUUAAUAAAGUCCCAAAUAAGCUCUCACAAAUGUUCUUUUCAAUGUGCAUGACAUCAAGAUUGUGUGGCAAUUUCAGAUCCUUCCAAUAUGGUAGCUCAAACAAGAUGCUCAUCUUUGUGAAAUUUUUCCCUGGCAUGUCCUUUGAAGAUGCCUUCUUUUUCUUAUUUCCAGGAUGUUUUCCGUAUUUGAAGCCCUGGAGAUGAUCUAACUUCUGCAGCAAUUCAAAAAUGCCUUUCCCAGAUAGUUGUUUUGGUGGCCCAUUGUAGAAUACCCAAAUACUGAAGCUAGUGCUGGAAGGUCGUGAAUAGUCCAUAGCAAUACUGCACGCAUAUUGAAAGUACCUCCUUCAACAGCGUCGAAAGUAACAACUCCUGGAUUAAAUAAUUGCUUUAGUUCUUCUACCAGUGGCCUCAAAUACACAUCAAUGUCCCUUCCUGGUGACUUCUUCCCAGGGAUCAAUAAUGUCAUGAGCAGGAAGGGCUCUUUCAUGCUUCUCCAUGGAGGCAAGUUAUACACAACUACAAUGACAGGCCACACACUAUAUGAGCUACUCAUAAUUCCAAAUGGAUUGAAACCAUCGGUGCCAACCCCGAGCCGCAAAUGGCGAGGGUCUUCAUCCAGCCAGGGAUAUUUCUUAUCCAUAUGUUUCCAAGCAUCGCCAUCCGGAGGACCCCUCAACACAUUUGGUUCGACAACUCUCUUAUCCCUAUGAUAACGCAAAUCUGAAGCUAUUUCCUUGUUCAUGAACAGCCGUUGUAAUCUAGGGAUUAAGGGAAAGUAGCGCAACACUUUCUGAGGUACUCGCUUCCCCUUGCCCUUUUGUGUCUUCCACCUCGAUUCCUUGCAAACUGGGCACUCGUCCUUGUCCUCAUGCUCCUUCCAGAAUAGAACACAAUCAUUUUUGCAAGCAUCAAUACUUUCAUAACCUAGCCCUAGAUCUCUCAGCAUCUUCUUUGCUUCGUAGUACGUGGCUGGAAGCGGGUUACCGGCUGGCAAAGCCUCCUUCUGAAGCUUGAGUAACAUGUCAAAAGAUUUGUUGCUCCAAUGGUUAAGAUCUUUGAGGUGUACCAGCUUUAAAACAAAGGAUAGCACCGAGUGACCUUUGCAGCCCGGGUACAGCUCACGUUGUGCACUUCUGAGCAAGCCGUCAAAUCUGGUUGAUGACUCAUUGGGCUCCGGAAUGCUACCUCCAGCAGGAUUAUGGUUAUCUUGCUCGUCAACCCCAACCGUGGCUCUAUGGAUAUCUCCUAGCAGAUCUUGGACCAUAUCAAAUCCAUCAAAAUCAUCAACAUCUUCCUCAUCUUCAAGUGACUCAUCAACUUGGUCUUCAUCAUUGCUAACUUGUUCUCCAUGGAAUACCCAUUUUGUGUACGAAGUUUGUAUACCAUACAAUAACAAAUGGGUUCGAACUUGACUAACACUCUGCUGACUUAUAUUCAUACAAGUUUCACAAGGGCAACGCAUCUUAUCAUUGCCGUUGUUAUGUUGACAAGCAAAAUCAAUGAAUGCAUUCACCCCUGAAACGUAAUCGCUUGAAAACCUAUCAGGCAACCUCAUCCAACUCUUAUCCAUACUCUAUCUUUUCCUGCACAAGCACUCUACAAGUGAACCAAAAUAGUACUAGAAAUGUAAAAUAUAACAACAUAACCACAUUACCUACAAUAUACAAGGAACUGUAUAAUGUUGUACUAGAAUAUAAUAUCACAGCAGCAACAGUCCAAGGAACUGUAUAAUGUUGUACUAGAAUUGUAUACAAGGACAGUCUUCAAACAUUCUACUACAACAUUAUACAAAGACAGCCUUCAUAGAACAGUAUAUCCUUGGAAAACAUUAUACUACAAGUCCUAAUGCUAUAAACAUUAUAUUCAAAUCACAAAACCGAACUCUACAUCAUAGGCCAAGCCAGUUUUCAAAUUACAAAGUAAAUGCUACAUGUAUAUUUUACUUCCACAUUUCCACAAACACUUGAAGUGCAUGAUUUAGCCAUCAAGUACUCCAAGGAAAUUAAUGGAGAGACACUGGGAAGGAGGCAAGGACAAAGGGGAGAUCAUUCUUACGGGUUGAAGCCUAUGAGAGCGAGAUCUCGCGAGCUUGGGCGUCUCCUUCAAAGCUGGUUGGGGAAGAAGGAACCCUAGGCGCCUGUUGCAGCAGCCUAGGUACGUUGACCACGCGGCGGGCGCCUGUCUGCUAUCGCGGCCGCUCCUGCGUCCCCUCCCCCACGCAGCCGCGCUGCCACCAUCGCCGCAAGGGACACGGCCGCCGCUGCCGCAAGGAACGCGCCCUCCGCCUUCCGCCGCCCCCUCCGCCGGAAGGAACGGGCCCUCCGCCUUCUGCCACCCCCUCCGCAAGGACCCGCCGUGGCCGUCGGCCGCCGCCAGGGACGAUUUGAUUUGGGGAUUUGGGGCGAGUCGUCUUGCCGUCGGCCGCCGCCAGGAAAGAGCUCUGCCUCGCCUCUGUUUUCUUCGAGCGUGGGGAUGGAUGCCCUGGAGCGGAGCCG